Molecule: ribosomal RNA, 878 nt
Filed under: uncultured bacterium
Lineage: Bacteria
Description: bacterial SSU rRNA
Rfam family: Bacterial small subunit ribosomal RNA
Source: RNAcentral
AACGCUAGCUACAGGCUUAACACAUGCAAGUCGAGGGGAAACGACAUCGAAAGCUUGCUUUUGAUGGGCGUCGACCGGCGCACGGGUGAGUAACGCGUAUCCAACCUGCCCACCACUUGGGGAUAACCUUGCGAAAGUAAGACUAAUACCCAAUGAUAUCUCUAGAAGACAUCUGAAAGAGAUUAAAGAUUUAUCGGUGAUGGAUGGGGAUGCGUCUGAUUAGCUUGUUGGCGGGGUAACGGCCCACCAAGGCGACGAUCAGUAGGGGUUCUGAGAGGAAGGUCCCCCACAUUGGAACUGAGACACGGUCCAAACUCCUACGGGAGGCAGCAGUGAGGAAUAUUGGUCAAUGGGCGAGAGCCUGAACCAGCCAAGUAGCGUGCAGGAUGACGGCCCUAUGGGUUGUAAACUGCUUUUAUAAGGGAAUAAAGUGAGCCUCGUGAGGCUUUUUGCAUGUACCUUAUGAAUAAGGACCGGCUAAUUCCGUGCCAGCAGCCGCGGUAAUACGGAAGGUCCGGGCGUUAUCCGGAUUUAUUGGGUUUAAAGGGAGCGUAGGCCGGAGAUUAAGCGUGUUGUGAAAUGUAGACGCUCAACGUCUGCACUGCAGCGCGAACUGGUUUCCUUGAGUACGCACAAAGUGGGCGGAAUUCGUGGUGUAGCGGUGAAAUGCUUAGAUAUCACGAAGAACUCCGAUUGCGAAGGCAGCUCACUGGAGCGCAACUGACGCUGAAGCUCGAAAGUGCGGGUAUCGAACAGGAUUAGAUACCCUGGUAGUCCGCACGGUAAACGAUGGAUGCCCGCUGUUGGUCUGAAUAGGUCAGCGGCCAAGCGAAAGCAUUAAGCAUCCCACCUGGGGAGUACACCGGCAACGGUGAAAC